RNAcentral lists this ribosomal RNA (481 nucleotides) under uncultured bacterium. Its description in RNAcentral is "partial 16S ribosomal RNA". It matches the Rfam family "Bacterial small subunit ribosomal RNA", at positions 28 to 507 of the family's 1533-position model. The record is from RNAcentral.
GACGAACGUUGGCGGCGUGCUUAAUACAUGCAAGUCCACUGAAGCAGUGGUAGCAAUAUCGCUGUGGAGGUGGCGCACGGGUGAGUAACACGUAGGUAAUCUGCCUUCAGGUCUGGCAUAACUCCGGGAAACCGGGGCUAAUAGCAGAUGAUGCAGCGGCUCGACAUCGAGACAGUUGUUAAAGCUAUGGCGCCUGAAGAUGAGCCUGCGUCUGAUUAGCUAGUUGGCGGGGUAACGGCCCACCAAGGCAACGAUCAGUAGCUGGUCUGAGAGGAUGAUCAGCCACACUGGAACUGAGACACGGGCCAGACUCCUACGGGAGGCAGCAGUAAGGAAUAUUGCUCAAUGGGAGAAAUCCUGAAGCAGCAACGCCGCGUGAGGGACGAAGGGCUUUUGCUUGUAAACCUCUGUAGUGAGAGAAAAAAAUCCCAAUCUUUGGGACAUGAUGGUAUCUCAAAAGUAAGCCCCGGCUAACUACGUG